GAUGAACGCUGGCGGCGUGCCUAAUACAUGCAAGUCGAGCGAACGGACGAGAAGCUUGCUUCUCUGAUGUUAGCGGCGGACGGGUGAGUAACACGUGGAUAACCUACCUAUAGGACUGGGAUAACUUCGGGAAACCGGAGCUAAUACCGGAUAAUAUUUUGAACCGCAUGGUUCAAAAGUGAAAGACGGUCUUGCUGUCACUUAUAGAUGGAUCCGCGCUGCAUUAGCUAGUUGGUAAGGUAACGGCUUACCAAGGCAACGAUGCAUAGCCGACCUGAGAGGGUGAUCGGCCACACUGGAACUGAGACACGGUCCAGACUCCUACGGGAGGCAGCAGUAGGGAAUCUUCCGCAAUGGGCGAAAGCCUGACGGAGCAACGCCGCGUGAGUGAUGAAGGUCUUCGGAUCGUAAAACUCUGUUAUUAGGGAAGAACAUAUGUGUAAGUAACUGUGCACAUCUUGACGGUACCUAAUCAGAAAGCCACGGCUAACUACGUGCCAGCAGCCGCGGUAAUACGUAGGUGGCAAGCGUUAUCCGGAAUUAUUGGGCGUAAAGCGCGCGUAGGCGGUUUUUUAGGUCUGAUGUGAAAGCCCACGGCUCAACCGUGGAGGGUCAUUGGAAACUGGAAAACUUGAGUGCAGAAGAGGAAAGUGGAAUUCCAUGUGUAGCGGUGAAAUGCGCAGAGAUAUGGAGGAACACCAGUGGCGAAGGCGACUUUCUGGUCUGUAACUGACGCUGAUGUGCGAAAGCGUGGGGAUCAAACAGGAUUAGAUACCCUGGUAGUCCACGCCGUAAACGAUGAGUGCUAAGUGUUAGGGGGUUUCCGCCCCUUAGUGCUGCAGCUAACGCAUUAAGCACUCCGCCUGGGGAGUACGACCGCAAGGUUGAAACUCAAAGGAAUUGACGGGGACCCGCACAAGCGGUGGAGCAUGUGGUUUAAUUCGAAGCAACGCGAAGAACCUUACCAAAUCUUGACAUCCUUUGACAACUCUAGAGAUAGAGCCUUCCCCUUCGGGGGACAAAGUGACAGGUGGUGCAUGGUUGUCGUCAGCUCGUGUCGUGAGAUGUUGGGUUAAGUCCCGCAACGAGCGCAACCCUUAAGCUUAGUUGCCAUCAUUAAGUUGGGCACUCUAAGCUGACUGCCGGUGACAAACCGGAGGAAGGUGGGGAUGACGUCAAAUCAUCAUGCCCCUUAUGAUUUGGGCUACACACGUGCUGCAAUGGACAAUACAAAGGGCAGCGAAACCGCGAGGUCAAGCAAAUCCCAUAAAGUUGUUCUCAGUUCGGAUUGUAGUCUGCAACUCGACUACAUGAAGCUGGAAUCGCUAGUAAUCGUAGAUCAGCAUGCUACGGUGAAUACGUUCCCGGGUCU
RNAcentral lists this ribosomal RNA (1372 nucleotides) under uncultured bacterium. RNAcentral describes it as "bacterial SSU rRNA". It matches the Rfam family "Bacterial small subunit ribosomal RNA", at positions 28 to 1381 of the family's 1533-position model. The record is from RNAcentral.